This 853-nucleotide ribosomal RNA is filed under the name uncultured Methanosarcinales archaeon. Its description in RNAcentral is "bacterial SSU rRNA". It matches the Rfam family "Archaeal small subunit ribosomal RNA", at positions 21 to 879 of the family's 1478-position model. Lineage: Archaea; Methanobacteriati; Methanobacteriota; Methanomicrobia; Methanosarcinales. The record is from RNAcentral.
AGGUUACUGCUAUCGAGGUUCGACUAAGCCAUGCGAGUCGAAUGUAGCAAUACAUGGCGAACUGCUCAGUAACACGUGGACAACCUGCCCUUAGGACGGGGAUAAACCCGGGAAACUGGGUAUAAUACCCGAUAGGUCUCGAUUGCUGGAAUGCAUCGAGAUUUAAAGCUCCGGCGCCUAAGGAUGGGUCUGCGGCCUAUCAGGUAGUAGUGGGUGUAGCGUACCUACUAGCCUACGACGGGUACGGGUUGUGAGAGCAAGAGCCCGGAGAUGGAUUCUGAGACACGAAUCCAGGCCCUACGGGGUGCAGCAGGCGCGAAAACUUUACAAUGCUGGCAACAGCGAUAAGGGAACCUCGAGUGCCAGGUUACAAAUCUGGCUGUCGAGAUGCCUAAAAAGCAUUUCAUAGCAAGGGCCGGGCAAGACCGGUGCCAGCCGCCGCGGUAACACCGGCGGCUCGAGUGGUAACCGUUAUUAUUGGGUCUAAAGGGUCUGUAGCCGGCCGGAUAAGUCUCUUGAGAAAUCUGGCAGCUUAACUGUCAGGCUUUCAGGAGAUACUGUCUGGCUCGAGGCCGGGAGAGGUGAGAGGUACUUCAGGGGUAGGGGUGAAAUCUUGUAAUCCUUGAAGGACCACCAGUGGCGAAGGCGUCUCACCAGAACGGACCUGACGGCAAGGGACGAAAGCUAGGGGCACGAACCGGAUUAGAUACCCGGGUAGUCCUAGCCGUAAACGAUACUCGCUAGGUGUCGGCCACGGUGCGACCGUUGUCGGUGCCGUAGGGAAGCCGUGAAGCGAGCCACCUGGGAAGUACGGCCGCAAGGCUGAAACUUAAAGGAAUUGGCGGGGGAGCAC